RNAcentral lists this ribosomal RNA (2274 nucleotides) under human metagenome. RNAcentral's name for it is "bacterial LSU rRNA". It matches the Rfam family "Bacterial large subunit ribosomal RNA", at positions 14 to 2309 of the family's 2925-position model. The record is from RNAcentral.
AGGGCGUACGGUGGAUGCCUAGGCUCUUACAGGCGAUGAAGGACGUGAUAAGCUGCGAUAAGCUUCGGGUAGGUGCAAAUGACCUUUGAUCCGAAGAUUUCCGAAUGAGACAACUCGGCAGGUUGAAGGCCUGUCAUCCCGCGAAUGCGGGAGGCUAACGCGGGGAACUGAAACAUCUUAGUACCCGUAGGAAAAGAAAAUAAUAAUGAUUCCCUCAGUAGUGGCGAGCGAACGGGGAAGAGCCCAAACCAAUGAUGUUUCGGCAUGAUUGGGGUUGUAGGACUGCGUUGUUGCAAGAAAUCAAGAUAGAGGAACGUUUUGGAAAGAACGACCAUAGAGAGUGACAGUCUCGUACUCGAAAUUUUGAUGAAGCAUAGCAGAAUCCUGAGUAGGGCGGGACACGUGAAAUCCUGUCUGAAUCCGGCGGGCCCAUCCGCCAAGGCUAAAUACUCGUAAGAGACCGAUAGCGUACCAGUACCGUGAGGGAAAGGUGAAAAGCACCUCUGUCAGAGGAGUGAAAGAGUUCCUGAAACCGUACGCCUACAAGCGGUCGGAGCACCUUAUGGUGUGACGGCGUGCCUUUUGCAUAAUGAACCUACGAGUUACCGUCAUUGGCAAGGUUAAGAGUAAUGAUGCUCCGAGCCGAAGCGAAAGCGAGUCUGAAUAGGGCGCCAUGAGUCAGUGGUGGUAGACGCGAAACCAAGUGAUCUACCCUUGUCCAGGUUGAAGUCCCGGUAACACGGGAUGGAGGACCGAACCAAUAAGCGUUGAAAAGCUUCUGGAUGAGGUGAGGGUAGGAGUGAAAGGCCAAUCAAACUUGGAGAUAGCUCGUACUCCCCGAAAUGCAUUUAGGUGCAGCCUCGGGUGUUUCCUGUGUGAGGUAGAGCGACUGAUUGGAUGCGAGGGCUUCGCCGCCUAUCAAGUCCAGACAAACUCCGAAUGCGCACAGGUUAAGCCCGGGAGUGAGGGCGUGGGUGCUAAGGUCCACGCCCGAGAGGAGAAGAAUCCUGACCAUCGUCUAAGGUCCCGAAAUUCUGAUUAAGUUAAACUAACGUAGUGUGGUCCCGGUGACAGCUAGGAUGUUGGCUUGGAAGCAGCCAUUCAUUCAAAGAGUGCGUAACAGCUCACUAGUCGAGGGACUGUGCAUGGAUAAUAAUCGGGUAUGAAAUCAGAUACCGAAGACAUGGGAUGUAUGCUAUACAUCGGUAGGGGAGCAUUCAUGCGGCCUUGAAGAUUGAGGACGACCUCAGUUGGAGCUUCAUGAAAAGCAAAUGUAGGUAUAAGUAACGAUAAAGAGUGUGAGAUGCACUCUCGCCGAAAGACUAAGGUUUCCAGGGCAACGUUAAUCGUCCCUGGGUUAGUCGGGUCCUAAGGCUCAGCCUAAUGGUGAUGCCGAUGGCAGAAAGGGUUAAUAUUCCCUUACUAUCUGAUAUGGCGAUGUGGAGACGGAGAAGUGACACUUCCGCGAGCUGACGGAAUAGCUCGUUAAAGGACAAAGACGUCGAUGAGAGUAGGCAAAUCCGCUCUCAGAGUUGAAGUCCGAUAGUAUGCAAAGUCCUCGGACGGCGCAAUAGCGAAGGUAAUCAGACUCCCGAGAAAAUCCGCUAAGCUUAACAUAUGAGAUACCCGUACCGUAAACGGACACACGUAGUCGGGUAGAAUAUACUAAGGCGCUUGGAAGAUUCAUGGUUAAGGAACUAGGCAAAUUGACCCCGUACGUUCGCAAUAAGGGGUCCUCAUAGUAAUAUGAGGCGCAGAGAAUAGGUCCAGGCAACUGUUUAACAAAAACACAGGGCUGUGCAAAAUCGAAAGAUGCAGUAUACAGUCUGACACCUGCCCGGUGCCGGAAGGUUAAGAGGAGAUGUCAUCGCAAGAGAAGCAUUGAAUUGAAGCCCCGGUAAACGGCGGCCGUAACUAUAACGGUCCUAAGGUAGCGAAAUUCCUUGUCGGGUAAGUUCCGACCUGCACGAAUGGUGUAAUGAUCCGGACGCUGUCUCAACCAUGAUCUCAGUGAAAUUGUAGUAUCGGUGAAGAUGCCGAUUACCCGCGAUGGGACGAAAAGACCCCGUGAACCUUUACUAUAGCUUAACGUUGUAAUCGGGCAGUCGAUGUGUAGGAUAGGUCGGAGGCAUUGAAGCAGGCACGCCAGUGUUUGUGGAGCCGCUGUUGAAAUACGACCCUUUGGCUGUCUGGUUCCUAACUCCUUGGUAGGAGGACACCGUUUGGUGGGUAGUUUGACUGGGGUGGUCGCCUCCAAAAGCGUAACGGAGGCUU